UUCUGGUUGAUCCUGCCGGACCUGACUGCUAUCGGAUUGAUACUAAGCCAUGCGAGUCUUUGUAGUAAUACAAGGCAUACGGCUCAGUAACGCGUAGUCAACCUACCCUAUGGACAAGAAUAAUCUCGGGAAACUGAGCAUAAUUCUUGAUAGAUCAUAAUGCCUGGAAUGGUUUAUGGUUAAAAUGAUUCGUCGCCGUAGGAUGGGACUGCGGCCUAUCAGCUUGUUGGUGAGGUAAUGGCCCACCAAGGCGAUUACAGGUACGGGCUCUGAGAGGAGAAGCCCGGAGAUGGGUACUGAGACAAGGACCCAGGCCCUAUGGGGCGCAGCAGGCGAGAAAACUUUGCAAUGUGCGAAAGCACGACAAGGUUAGUCCGAGUGAUUUCUGCUAAAGAGAUCUUUUGCUAGUUAUAAAACCACUAGUGAAUAAGGGGUGGGCAAGUUCUGGUGUCAGCCGCCGCGGUAAAACCAGCACCUCAAGUGGUCAGGAUGAUUAUUGGGCCUAAAGCAUCCGUAGCCGGCUCUGUAAGUUUUCGGUUAAAUCUAUGCGCUCAACGUAUGGGCUGCCGAAAAUA
Molecule: ribosomal RNA, 575 nt
Filed under: uncultured marine group I thaumarchaeote
Lineage: Archaea; Thermoproteati; Nitrososphaerota
Description: bacterial SSU rRNA
Rfam family: Archaeal small subunit ribosomal RNA
Source: RNAcentral